GAUGAACGCUGGCGGCGUGCUUAAUACAUGCAAGUCGAGCGGAAAGGCGCGGCUCUUGCUGGGUGCUUGUGUGGCGCAGGGGUGUGUAACACGUGUGUAACCUGUCCUUGAUUGUGGGAUAACUCCACGAAACAGCGGCUCAAAUCGGAUAUGAUCUUCUGAUGCAUGUUGGUCGUUGGUGAGUUUCGGUGGUUGUGGAUGGUCUCGCGGCUUAUCAGCUUGUUGGUGGGGUAGUGGCUUACCAAGGCUUUGACGGGUAGCCGGCCUGAGAGGGUGACCGGCCACAUUGGGACUGCGAUACGGCCCAGACUCCUACCGGAGGCAGAAGUGGGGAAUAUUGCACAAUGGGCGGAAGCCUGAUGCAGCAACGCCGCGUGCGGGAUGACGGCCUUCGGGUUGUAAACCGCUUUCGACUGUGACGAAGCGUGAGUGACGGUAAUGGGUAAAGAAGCACCGGCUAACUACGUG
This 468-nucleotide ribosomal RNA is filed under the name uncultured bacterium. Its description in RNAcentral is "partial 16S ribosomal RNA". It matches the Rfam family "Bacterial small subunit ribosomal RNA", at positions 28 to 507 of the family's 1533-position model. The record is from RNAcentral.